Molecule: long non-coding RNA, 270 nt
Filed under: Lathyrus oleraceus (garden pea)
Lineage: Eukaryota; Viridiplantae; Streptophyta; Magnoliopsida; Fabales; Fabaceae
Description: Pisum sativum (pea) long non-coding RNA (PSAT_LNC022705)
Source: RNAcentral
AUUGCUUGAGCUUGUCUUUCCUUUUUAUUGUUUUGCAUUGUUUCAAGAGGCUAACUUUGUGUUAGACCUCUAACAUGCUUAGCACAUACAUUGUUAUUGACCAACCUCAGAUAGGUUGACUUCUACAUAAGUCCACUUAUGAUUGCUUAACAUAGCGCUAAAGUGUCCCGACUCGAUUAAAUCUUUCCAUUGAUCAUUAACGACUAACAUUUGAAAUUUGAUGUUUAACUUUUAUCUUCUUUUAUCUUAAUUUAUGAUUGCUUGGGUUAU